Long non-coding RNA from Dermacentor andersoni, 1420 nucleotides. RefSeq lists it as uncharacterized. NCBI's taxonomy places the organism in Eukaryota, Metazoa, Arthropoda, Arachnida, Ixodida, Ixodidae. The record is from RefSeq and is a predicted model, not a curated record.
UACCGGGCUGAUGCGCAUUCUAGUUAUACUUUCGUGAAUAACGGCUGGCACACCUUUAAAAUAUUGUGUUUACUUUGAAUAUUAAAACAUCCUAGUCACCAUAUUUUAGUGAAUUGCAAGCAAACGAGCCAAUAGCAGCAAAGCUUGUAGCCAAGAACGGAGACCAUCAACCACGGAGGAAGGAAACUAAGGAGAGGCCCUGACGUCACUCUUUGUGAAGCAAAAGUGAAGCCGGAAUUUGGCGUUGCUCAUGGCGAUGCUCCGCCUUUUGGGCCACCCUCCUCUCUUGUUUACAUCUUUCGCGAAACCACGCCGCGCUGCGCAUGGUGUCGCGCGCUCGCGCAACAUCUGGCAGAGCACGGUGCAGGUAACACAGCGCAACAAGACACGGUGACUAACGCAAACCCGCCCACUUAGCGCCUUUGCCACGGCCCGAAAGCUACCCGAGCAACGCGUGUGAGCGCUCAAAACCAUAACAACGCCGCCAUUGUGUCCGAAAAGGCGUGGCCAUACAACAAAAAAAAAAAUAAAAAAGCAGCAAAAAAAAUGUGGACCUUCUACGUCAUUUCCGCCACACUUUUCUCCUAUAGCGCGCGGAGGGGGUAGGGCCUCUCCUUAGUUUCCUUCCUCCGUGCCAUCAACGUUACAGUGUACUAGAAUGGGGGCAGUGUCUUCACGAAGCGCUCGCCGCUGAGGCGCUUCAUGUAGAUAGCAUAAAAUGGCGCUGUAGGAACAUAGGCUGUACGGAACGUACGGCGCAGCGCCAGCGCUACAUGUUGAUAUUUUGAUAAUAAUUUUCUUUCGCAGUCAAAUAGACGUGCAAAUGCUCGGCGGAUGUUAAGAUGCAUCCCCGAAACUCACUUCAUAUAACAGAUGAAUUAUAUAUGCACUCCUAGCGCAUCUCAACUCCCAUUAGACGGAUUUAUUAACCUGACAGCAAAGGUUUUGCAGAAACCGAAGUAGUGGCGUAAAGCCGUUAAAUUUAUUUUGAGCCACGCUGCCAUGUAACCAGAAAUUAUUCGGACGGAAAACUCGGCUGGAAAUAACGCCGUAGUAAAGCACUUCGAAUUGAUUAUAGGCCGUGUCUGCUGUGCCCGGGGCACAGCAGACGAAAGGUGCCCGAAAUGUCAACGUUCACCCAUGACGUCACGUCCGCUAUAACCCAUGAUGUCACAUCCGCUCAUUUCCAUGGCGGCCGUCUUACGGAGCCGGCUGCGCUGCGAAACGGUCCGUAUUCCGUGGCCACUUAGAGCACUGAACAUCCCACGUCUUGGUUUGACUUCCUGGUACAGGAUACUUGCACUUAGCAUGGAGUGAUGAAGCAGAGCAGUGUACUUUUAUUAAAUGUGCAGAUUUUAGCAGUAUAACAGCAGUUCAUGAAAAAAACAUGUGUGCUGAAAAUAAAGUGUUUUUACCCACA